GUGAGGAAUAUUGGUCAAUGGGCGGGAGCCUGAACCAGCCAAGUCGCGUGAAGGAAGAAGGAUCUAUGGUUCGUAAACUUCUUUUGUAGGGGAAUAAAGUGCGGGACGUGUCCUGUUUUGUAUGUACCCUGAGAAUAAGGAUCGGCUAACUCCGUGCCAGCAGCCGCGGUAAUACGGAGGAUCCGAGCGUUAUCCGGAUUUAUUGGGUUUAAAGGGUGCGUAGGUGGUUUGAUAAGUCAGCGGUGAAAGUUUGCAGCUUAACUGUAAAAAUGCCGUUGAAACUGUCGGACUUGAGUGUAAAUGAGGUAGGCGGAAUGUGUGGUGUAGCGGUGAAAUGCAUAGAUAUCACGCAGAACUCCGAUUGCGAAGGCAGCUUACUAAGCUACAACUGACACUGAAGCACGAAAGCGUGGGGAUCAAACAGGAUUAGAUACCCUAGUAGUCC
RNAcentral lists this ribosomal RNA (445 nucleotides) under uncultured bacterium. RNAcentral's name for it is "partial 16S ribosomal RNA". It matches the Rfam family "Bacterial small subunit ribosomal RNA", at positions 354 to 796 of the family's 1533-position model. The record is from RNAcentral.